UUAGCGGCGUUUUUUAACGCCACUAAUUGUAUUUACGACGCUUCC
Gossypium raimondii (Peruvian cotton) is the source of this 45-nucleotide non-coding RNA. Lineage: Eukaryota; Viridiplantae; Streptophyta; Magnoliopsida; Malvales; Malvaceae. The record is from Rfam.